UGGUGUGCAGUUGGUAAAGACCUCUUAUCUCUUGGGCAUGUGACCAAAUCUGCAGCCAUCAGUUCUCAUGCUCCAGGCUUCACGGACAAGAUCUAUAUGUAGUAGAAGAAGAUGAUCCUGUGUUCAGAGACACAGCGGAGCUGGAAAGUCAUGUUCAAGUCCACAGUAUACAAAUGAACACCGAUCAACUUCUCUGGAGGCUGAAAACCCUGAUUUGAACCUCUGCCCAGAUUAGACCUCUCCACCGCUGUGCCAGCGCCCCUUCCUCAUUCAGAGCUGGGAGUUCCUCCAAUCAACAGGAUUUAUGAGGAGCCUGCUGUUCUGGGUGCUGGUGACGCUGCGGUUAGCCAAAAGUGUUGGAAAAACUCCAGAGAAGUUCACAGACAGUAAACUGAACCAAGACUCUUCUGUCUGUCUCUGCAAUCAAGGAAACUGAGCCCAGAACACUGUCAGGUGUCCUGGUCACAUGGGGGUCACCAAAGGCCUGGACCAGGGGCUGGGAGGGUGGAGUGCAGCUGAGACUCUCGUUCAGCACACACAUGCGAGAACGGAGUCUGCAGGACACCAGGCCAGUCGAUAUGAGGUUGUCAGGCAGACUCAGAGGCCCCGGACACAGCCAGCUUAGAGCUGAGCGGGGAAGACAGAGAAGUAGACAAGCAAUUAGAAAAUGCAAAGUACUGUGAAGAGGGCUGAGAUGGGGAAUGAAGGGGAGACCUGUUUAAUAGGGGCAAGUGUGACCUCACUGAGGAGUUGGGGGGCAUAAACAGGAGCCAGUCAUGGAGAGCAUGGAAGAGCAUUUUAGGAAGAUGGAAGAGCAUGUGGAAGGACAGAGUGAAUGCCAGCAGUUGGAAGGAAUUCACUGGAAAGAAGCCACGUGGCGGGAGCCCAGUAAGGAAGGACAGGCAGAUGAGACAAAGUCUGAGAAGGCAAACUGUGUUAUUUGUAUGUUACUCAAAGUUUAAUGUCAUUGUUGAUUAUUUUUUUAGGCAAAGGAAUGGCACAUCUUGUCACCCUAGUUCCCGUUUCAGAACACCACCUCUGCCUGUGCUGAGAACCUGCGUGAAGGGGAGGCCUGGAGGAGGCCAGGGAAUCUUGGGAGGGCCUGCGGCGUUCCAGCAGGAGAGGAGGGUGGCUUGGAGUGGGACCUUGGCAGGAGAGACAGAACCUGAGUGUGGGAACAAGAGGAAUCAAGGCCGUCUCCCAGGCCAUUUGCAGAGAUGAGGGAGGAACUGGUUUGGGGAGGGAAUCAAGGAUUCUUUAGACACAAGAAAAACAGAGAUGCUCAUGAGAUACUAAGAGGAGAUGAGGCACUUGGACUCAGGAGACAGGGAACUGUGCCGGCUGGACGUGGGGCCUGUCACUUCCUGUCUGCUGAUGAAGUCAUGGCCGUGGAUGAGCCUGCUCCAGGAGAUCUGCAGGGAGAAGAGGAGGCUCUCUGAGCAGUCUCUGACAGAGGACCCUGCAAGGCCUGCUGGGCCGUCAGGAGUGGGAGCAGGGACAUUGGAUAACCAAGAACAGACGGAGCGCGGCCCAGCAUGAACGUCGUGAACACCCAAAUCAGAAAGGGCACAGGCCAGCACCCACUGGCUCUGGCCUCCAUGGGGAGGGGACCACAAACCCUGAGAAGAGCCUUCUGGUGGUGUGGUGGGGCCGAGGUUGGAGGGACGGCAGAAGGUGGGCCGGGAGGUUUGUAAGUGAGAAGAACAGGGGGAUAGGCACAGUGGACCAGAGGGUGUAACAGUGAGGAUGGCCCAGGUGAGAGCUCCCUGUGGCCCUUAGCGUGAAGGGGACCCAGAAGAAGGCCACUGAUGGGGUGAGGUGGAAGAGGUUGAGCCGGGCAGGAGGGACGCUCUGUGAAGAAGGGGCUAGCAGGUCUGUAGGGCUCUUCUGGCAGACUCGAGAUAUUGUGGUGAUGUCCAUGCUCCAUGCAUGUGACCUACGAGGGUGUGAGGAGUGAGCACAGGUGGGGAGCUCCGUGGGACACCCCGGCCAGUGCUCCUUCCUCACUCACUGCCUGUUGGCCUCUGGGUCUGAAGAAGGGGCUUGGUGGGAUGGGGACGGGACUCCUCCAGUUCUCGUCCUCCUGGCACAGGGAGCAGGGGAGACCGGGAGAACCGAGAGGCUGCAGCUGGAGAGUCGCCCUGCCCGAAAUGAAGAUUUAAUUUCAAUUCAUGUUAAAUGAGCUCAUUAUUUUUUUAAUGUCAGAGAAAAAUGCCCCAAGUUGUUUAGCUGGUCAAAAGGAAACCAUGGGCAAGGUGAGCUCUUACAAGUCCUACCAUGAAGGGACACUAGGGGGCAGAAUUGUUGAAAGAAAAAAAAAAUCAACCUGGUCCCCAGAGUGACACUGUUUCUUGUGUAUUGUGGAAAUGCACUUUGAAAGUGUCCUAGGCAGAGUGUCAAUGCUGAGCGGGAAAAGGACUUCAGUCCAUUGUAUUCCCAGGCCUCUGUGAAAAGAUACAGUAAGUGGUGGUUAAAUCUGUUACGUAGGACCUGACUGGAGCCUGCCCAGAUUCCCCAUCAAUCCAGAAGGCUUAGGGGUGUUCAGCUUUCCUGCACCCUACCAACACCUGCAUGGGUGGGGCUGGGCUUUAAAGCCACCCACAUAUGGUUCCACUGAAGUUCUGUUCUGUGGGGGUCCUGGUAUGAGGCCCCAGCCUCGAUGUUUUGGAAACAGCCUGGGGUUUAGAAUUGCUGUGCUUGUUAUUCGGUGGCCUUCGUGGGUGGCCCCUGGGCCACAGGCGUCAGCAGCAAUGGAAUCGUCCCAUAUGCAAGUCCAGACCUAGAAGACCAUGAGUUCUGGGGGUAGCACCCUGCAGCCCCCUUUAACCAGCCCUGCAAGCAAAUCUGCUAUACUGUAGAGCUUGAGAGCCACUCCCUACUCCUCCCCAGGGAACCAUGUCAGGGGCAGAUUCUCCAUAGUCCAUCUCUGCUGUCCUCUAAUCUGCUGCUUCAUGCAGUAGUUUAACCUGUGCUCACUGUGGUUACUCCCCUGAGUACUUAUCCAGCCACUAUGACACACACACACACACACACACACACAAACAAUUCAGUGUGAGCCAAUCUGGGAAUGUGAUAGAAACAGUAGCUGAGGCCUUUGAAUUUUUUAAAAAUUAGCUAUCAAAUCUCAAAAGUUUGAGGAAAACAGCCCAAACUACCAAAAGACUGCCAAAUCCUCCUCAGCAUGCUUCCCCUGGUUGAAAGUGUCCUCAUCCUUUAGCCUGGUGCGGCCUCCUGGGCUCACAUCCCACCACGGCUUGCUCUCUGUCCCUGUGUCGUAGCAGAGCAGACCCUCAGCAGCUCUGCAAGGGACUCUUUUUUUUUUUUUUUGCUACUGGGGAUGGAACCCAGGAGGGGUGCUCUAAAACUGAGCUACAUCCCCAGCCCUCUUAAUUUUUAUUUUAUUUUUUAAAUUUUGAGACAGGGUCUCACUAAGUUGCCCAGGCUAGCUUCCAACCUGCAAUCCUCCUGCUUCAGCCUCCUGAGUUGCUGGGAUCCCAGGUGUGCACUGGGAUCCCCAGUCCCUGACUUGCAGUUCAGUUGCUCAUCUGGGUGUCCCACUCCCAUCUGGAGAGUGGGGAUGAUCUUGAGCCUGAGGAACUCUUCCAAAGCUUGUCAUGGGACAGCAUGUGGAGAUCACGGGAAGUCUGACCGUAGGCACAACUGAGUAGCAACAGAAUGUGGCCCUGGCUGUUUUCUCCCAAGGAGUACUUGGGAUUCUAAUGUUUUAGUGACAUUCUUCUCUCAGUAAUGCAGGCCAUCUUUAUUUAAAAAUAUGCUUUUUAUGUCAAAGGAAUUGAUACUACUAUUUAUUUUGAGUGGAAAAAUUUUUUAUAAACAUUUCAAUUUCUUAAUUGGAGCUCAUGCAAAACCUGGAAGCUCACAAAAACUUGUUGUUUUGUUUUGAUGUGGCCCCUGGAACUUUGAAAGUUGCAAGAAAAUAAUUACAGGAAUAACAGAACAUAGGGGCUAAUGAUCCAAUAUGAAGAAAUUGGUGUUUUGGUGAAAUAAAAUUUGCUUAAAUUAAUAUGGAUGUAGAGACAAAGGGAUAAAACCAAAAUAAAUCUUGGAGAUAAU
Marmota monax (woodchuck) is the source of this 4074-nucleotide long non-coding RNA. RefSeq lists it as uncharacterized. The transcript has 2 exons. The record is from RefSeq and is a predicted model, not a curated record. NCBI's taxonomy places the organism in Eukaryota, Metazoa, Chordata, Mammalia, Rodentia, Sciuridae.